GUCCACGCCGUAAACGAUGGGCACUAGGUGCUUCGGGGAGCGACCCUCGGAGUGCCGGCGCUAACGCAUUAAGUGCCCCGCCUGGGGAGUACGGCCGCAAGGCUGAAACUCAAAGGAAUUGACGGGGGCCCGCACAAGCGGUGGAGCAUGUGGUUCAAUUCGACGCAACGCGAAGAACCUUACCUGGGCUUGACAUGUACGGGAAAGCUGCCAGAAACGGCAGCCCUCCUUCGGGAUCCGUGCACAGGUGCUGCAUGGCUGUCGU
This 265-nucleotide ribosomal RNA is filed under the name uncultured bacterium. Its description in RNAcentral is "partial 16S ribosomal RNA". It matches the Rfam family "Bacterial small subunit ribosomal RNA", at positions 793 to 1055 of the family's 1533-position model. The record is from RNAcentral.